AUAUCCAUUUCCUUUAUCAAUUCUUCUCUCCAGUUCAGAGCUCCAUUUUAGAUCGCCAUGAUCACAUAAUAACAAACCUUAAUUAGCAACUGAUUCAAAACCAUUAAUUCAAAUCUAUCAACCCUUUUAUGAAAACCCAUUUCUUCAGAACGAAUUUUUUCCCGUUUUCAAUCUUCAUCCGGUAAACUUGUGGGUUUAAAAUUUAUUUAUUUUUUUCCUUUAAUUUCUUGGAUGUUAGGGUUUUAAUUUAAAUUUUGUUUUCAUUUUUGUAUGUAGAAGACCUUCAGGUGGAUUUGUCUUCAGAUAACUAUGGCUAGGGGCCCGGGAAGUAGCAUCAGGUCUCGCCGGACUACAAAUCCUACCACAAAUGCAAGUAAUUGGACUCAUUUGGUUGAUACACGAACGCCUCCACCAACUAAUGGUUUAGACAGUCACGAAAGUCCAUUUACUUCAUCCUUCAUGCUUGCAAUGGAGUGAAUGUAAUCUUGAAGUUCUGGAGGAUUGCAAUUUAGCGAAAAUUUCCAUAGUUACACCAGGCUUUGUUGGAGCUGACUUGUCAGAAUUGGUUAAAAAGGCUGGUAAGAUUGCAAAGAAAAGGACAAUUGCUAUUACGAAAUGCAAUAAUGAAGUGCCCAAUGUAGACUGGUCGAUGCAACCGCUGGAAGCAUAGGAAAUGGAAGGACUUGGCAUUAGCAUGACUUAUUUUGAGGACGCAUGUAAAAUUGUUCAACCAUCUUUAAGAAGAGAAGUAUUUUUCACCUAUUCCCAGUAUCAAGUGGGAAGAUGUCGGUGGUCUUGACUUCCUGAGGAGGGAAUUUGAAGAAUAUAUUGUCAAUCGUAUAAGUAUCCCGAGGAUUAUGAGCUUCAGGCUGGAGUAAUGGACAUGAUUUGAGAUAGUUUGUCAGAAAAUUGAGGCAUGGAUGGUGAAGUCUUACCUUCAACUUAGGCUCGAGUAAUGGACCUGAUUUGAGCUAGUUUGUCUUGAGCUAGUUUGUCGGAAAACGGAGGCAUGGAUGGUGAAGUCUUCCCUUCAAAUUAGUGUUGAAGCUUGUAAUAGAAAUAUAGGUUAAGGUUUUCCAACACAGUGUUGAAGUUUUUCAGACUUGGAACUUGCUGUAUUUUAGAUAGACUUUUUUUUUUUUUUCAAAUCAGUAUUUUAGAUAUUCAAAAUUGUAAACCGAAUACAGUUUUCAAUACAAAUUGAAUUUUAG
Papaver somniferum (opium poppy) is the source of this 1211-nucleotide long non-coding RNA. RefSeq lists it as uncharacterized. NCBI's taxonomy places the organism in Eukaryota, Viridiplantae, Streptophyta, Magnoliopsida, Ranunculales, Papaveraceae. The record is from RefSeq and is a predicted model, not a curated record. The transcript is spliced from 5 exons.